AUUGAACGCUGGCGGCAUGCCUAACACAUGCAAGUCGAACGGCAGCACAGCAGUAGCAAUACUGUGGGUGGCGAGUGGCGGACGGGUGAGGAAUACGUCGGAAUCUGCCCAGUCGUGGGGGAUAACUAGCCGAAAGGUUAGCUAAUACCGCAUACGACCGAGAGGUGAAAGCGGGGGACCGCAAGGCCUCGCGCGAUUGGAUGAGCCGACGUCGGAUUAGCUAGUUGGCGGGGUAAAGGCCCACCAAGGCGACGAUCCGUAGCUGGUCUGAGAGGACGAUCAGCCACACUGGAACUGAGACACGGUCCAGACUCCUACGGGAGGCAGCAGUGGGGAAUAUUGCGCAAUGGGCGAAAGCCUGACGCAGCCAACCCGCGUGUGUGAUGAAGGCCUUCGGGUCGUAAAGCACUGUCGUGAGGGAAGAAUAAAUGACGGUACCUCACAAGAAAGCACCGGCUAACCCUGUAGCCAGCAGCCGCGGUAAU
RNAcentral lists this ribosomal RNA (485 nucleotides) under uncultured bacterium. RNAcentral describes it as "bacterial SSU rRNA". It matches the Rfam family "Bacterial small subunit ribosomal RNA", at positions 29 to 524 of the family's 1533-position model. The record is from RNAcentral.